RNAcentral lists this ribosomal RNA (429 nucleotides) under Actinomycetes bacterium. RNAcentral describes it as "Actinobacteria bacterium partial 16S ribosomal RNA". It matches the Rfam family "Bacterial small subunit ribosomal RNA", at positions 355 to 776 of the family's 1533-position model. Lineage: Bacteria; Bacillati; Actinomycetota; Actinomycetes. The record is from RNAcentral.
UAGGGAAUCUUCCGCAAUGGGCGAAAGCUUGACGGAGCAACGCCGCGUGAGUGAUGAAGGUCUUCGGAUCGUAAAACUCUGUUAUUAGGGAAGAACAAAUGUGUAAGUAACUAUGCACGUCUUGACGGUACCUAAUCAGAAAGCCACGGCUAACUACGUGCCAGCAGCCGCGGUAAUACGUAGGUGGCAAGCGUUAUCCGGAAUUAUUGGGCGUAAAGCGCGCGUAGGCGGUUGUUUAAGUCUGAUGUGAAAGCCCACGGCUCAACCGUGGAGGGUCAUUGGAAACUGGAAAACUUGAGUGCAGAAGAGGAAAGUGGAAUUCCAUGUGUAGCGGUGAAAUGCGCAGAGAUAUGGAGGAACACCAGUGGCGAAGGCGACUUUCUGGUCUGUAACUGACGCUGAUGUGCGAAAGCGUGGGGAUCAAACAGG